AAGGAGCAGAAGAAGAAGAAGAAGAAGAAGAAGAAGAAGAAGAAGAAGAAGACAAAGAAUCAUAGAAGUAGCUUUUGCCUAAUUUUUCAAGUUUGGGAAAGAGAAAGGAAGGAAGCAGAGUCGCAUGUGGCUCACUUUUCAGGUUAGGUCAAAGAGAAGUGAGGGAAUUACCUUUGGGGUUUCAUGUGGGGGAAGAGGAGGCCACGCAGCCUACGAGAGAGAAACACCGCGUUGGAACAAGCCAGAAAGAGAACGAGAAGGAAGGGAGCGACCACCUAGUAGUUAUUGAAUUUAUAACGGAUUUGUAGCAGCCAAUAUAAUCAUCUAUAUCAAUUCGGCACAUAAUGCCGAAGUAGUAAUCAAAUAUAUUAUAGUUCUAUUCGAACGCACACCGUAAACUAUAGCCGAUAUAACGUCUAUAUAGAUAAAGACGGGUAAGAAGUGCGACCAUUAUAUUCCUGAUAUUAUUAUGUAUUAUGUCUGAGUGGUGAGCAAUAGGUUAUUCCAUUAUAUAUAAUCCAUAUCACCGGGAUUGUAUUUCACUCUGGUGUCCAACUACAAGCUACUCUAUCGCCGUCCUGCAUAGAGGAGAGAAAAAUGAUCCAAACCCUACAGAACACACGGUUAAGCAAUUAACGCCUAUUUUUCUGUAGCGGUCACCCUUUAGUGCCACUAUAAUUACACAACCGGGCGAAACUCCUGAGGGGUUGCUUAGACUCUGACCGCGAAUAAAUAGGUGUCUUGUCUCUUCGUGAGUAAAAGGUGAACAAAGUAGAGAAUUAAGAAACCCGUCUAUAGAAACGGGUUCAAUAUGACAGCCUCCAUAUCCGCAUGCUUUUAUAGUAUUUGUAACAUUUUUUUUUAUCUAGCACGAAAACUGCUAAAGUGUCAAUAUUGUGGCAUAAUAUUAUUUAUUUUACAACAUAUACACAAAUAGCAGCUCAAUAACAUAACAACUACCAACACAAAAGCCGAAGCUUUGGUGUUUAACUAAUAUAACAAUAUAAAAUUGACAUUGGCAACAUAAAUUACAAUAAUCAAAAUAAAUCUUAUGCAAUACAAUGACAGAAUUUUUUCUAAUGUAGUAGAUGUUGGUAGCGUUGCUUGGUAGUAAUGGUGGCAAUAUAUGUAGCAGAGUACAUUGGUGUUAAUACUGUUGACUGAUAUAGUAGAAUGGUGAUAAUAUUUGUAAUGGAGUAGGCUACAUUAAUGUUAAUACUGUUAUAGAGUUAAAUGGAGGCAAUAUUUGUAGUGCAGUAUAUCGUCGGUAAUAUUGUUGAGUGAUAGAGUAGAAUGGUGGUAAUAUUUGUAAAGGAGUACAUUUAUGUUAAUACUGUUAAGGGAUAGAGUUAAAUGGAGGCAAUAUUUGUAGUGCAGUACAUCAUCGGUAAUAUUGUUGAGUGAUAGAGUAGAAUGGGGACAGUAGUUGCAGCCUAAUACACUCAUGUUAAUAGUGUCGAUAUAGUAGAAUAAUUACCUUAUGUAUACUAUAUUAUGUUUUAGCAUAGUCCAUGGCGACCAUACUACUCCACGCUCAUAGUAAAAUGGUAGUGCAGUACACUUACGAAGAUCGCGUUUAUGCCACACAAUAUGCUCAGGUUUGCAGCUCAGAAUGAACAUCAUGCGGGGCAAUGGAAGCAUGCAAUGGCGUACAUAUAGCACAUUAAUGUUAACAUGGUUAAUAGUGCGCAUAGCAUGAUAGCAACAGUGCUGAUGUGGGGCUGAUGUAGACACUGCUAGCAAUACGACUCAUAACUCUAGUGCACAAACAGUACAUUCACAUUAAUGAUGUGAACAAAACGGUGCAUUGAGAUUAAUAAUGGGCACAAAACAGUACAUUAAUGUUAUUAAUGUGCACAAACAGUACGUUCGCAUUAAUAUUGUGCCCAAACAGUACACUGACGAUAAUCAUGUGCACAAAAUGGCACGGUACAUUCAAAUUAUUAUUGUUCGCAACAGUACAUCCACAUUGGUAAUGUGCACAAAACAUGCAUCAAAAUUAAUAUCGUACAAUGCAAUGCACAAACGAUGCAGUGGCUGUAAUACUGUGCACAAACAAUGCAGUGACUGUAAUACUGUGCACAAACAAUGCAGUGACUGUAAUACUGUGCACAAACAAUGCAGUGACUGUAAUACUGUGCACAACCAAUGCAGUGGCUGUUAUACUGU
Long non-coding RNA from Priapulus caudatus, 2169 nucleotides. RefSeq lists it as uncharacterized. The transcript is spliced from 2 exons. The record is from RefSeq and is a predicted model, not a curated record. NCBI's taxonomy places the organism in Eukaryota, Metazoa, Priapulida, Priapulimorpha, Priapulimorphida, Priapulidae.